GACAGGAUUGAUCGUUCUUUGCAAUGGGAAAUUUAUUAUCGAACCCGCUUCGUGUCUGUAUGCGAAACGGAACAGACGACGAUAUACAGGCUGGGCCGUUAACUAUCAUCACUUUAGAGGUCGCGAUUGCAGGAAAUACGUUCCACCAACUUUAGAUCAUAUUAGAACAGAUAGUUGGAGUUGCUGGAAAUGGUGUUCAAAAUGUUUUAAGUGAAGGAAAAAUCGGUGCAUCUGGUUUUAACGAUUCUAAUUACAUCUUUUAAUUUUUGUUAUCUGGGUCUCGCAUAUAAUUUUCAAUUCGUGUGGAGGUGUUAAGGAGGAACAAAGAUUACACAGGUGUUCUCACAUGUUAUAAUCCGAUCUUUUUUAAUAAGCCCGUAUAAUAUUAAACGCUGGAACACGAAAAUAUCACAAAGUAGUCAAUUAUUAAUAAAAAGAAAAUACCAAAUUGGAAUCUACUUAAUACAACUGUACUACAUAGGAUAUCAAGUACAUCAGGAUAAAAUAACGCGUGGUGUGAGGGCCGCUUUUAUCGAAUACGUUCUUUUCUUUGUGGCGUGAUGCUCUAUAGACGAGUACGAGGACUAAGGAGUGUAGAGCCAUUGAAAGCCAUUUUUAAUCUCUUUGUAUCGCACCAGUAUGGUGCACGUACUGAUGAUGUGCGAAUUGUGACCACUCGUGAAGAAAGUAAUGUGUAUGAUGCUAACAAUAAGGGUCAUAGGACAUCGACAGGUCGGUAUUUCGACAAAAGCAGAUUUUAAAAUAUAUUUACAUGGAAUUCGGAAGGGUAAAUGGAGUUAUAAAUAUAACAUACAAGGAUUAACAAAUGUUAUUAUUUGGAUAUCUUGUAAAAUAGGAUUAAUAAUCAGGCAUGUAGCGAGAGUAUAAAAGAAUUUUAAAGCAGAAUUGACGUU
This is a long non-coding RNA of Bombus terrestris (buff-tailed bumblebee), 914 nucleotides long. RefSeq lists it as uncharacterized. The record is from RefSeq and is a predicted model, not a curated record. Lineage: Eukaryota; Metazoa; Arthropoda; Insecta; Hymenoptera; Apidae. The transcript is spliced from 3 exons.